Molecule: long non-coding RNA, 2357 nt
Organism: Syzygium oleosum
Lineage: Eukaryota; Viridiplantae; Streptophyta; Magnoliopsida; Myrtales; Myrtaceae
Exons: 2
Source: RefSeq, a predicted model, not a curated record
CUUGAAUGUUCCCUAGCCUCGUCGGGCUAGUUCGUUACUAUAUGAAUGUAUAUUUAUACGAUACAGAUAAUCCAUAGAUUACAUAUUAAACUAGAUGAGAUUUAACACUUGAUCUGUUCAUUUAUCUCCGUGGCGGUCACUUCGACAGUCGACACGUACCGAUCCUCCAACCCUCUCCCCCCUCCCCCUCUCUCUUCUCUAUCUCUCUCGUGCCAAUUCAAUGUGCUGGAAGUGGAAACUGCAAAAUCAACAUGCAUUUCAUCCAUGGAAGCCCCGUUCAAUCGGGCGACAAGCUCUAGAGAUGGAGAUGACUCUCACCUCAUUUCACAGAGAGAGAGAGAGAGAGAGAGAGAGAGAGAGAGAGAAGCUUUCAUGCGUCGUCGUACCCUGCUGCGGCUGGACUGGAUUUGGGUCUGCUCAGAACUAAUUCAAAGCCAUCGCUGUCUUCUGGGUUGGCCCGAUGAGAAGCAUCUGCAGCUUCUAUAAUCUUGCUUAAUUGAAAGCAAAAGAGACGUAGUCAAGCGUAUGAAAACUCUACCAAGGUGGAAGGUCUUGGACAAAAAGCGACACUUAAGCGAACAUUGGCCUCAGGGCCUCAGGUCUUCAAACUUUAAGAGUAAACAAGUCAUAUCUUAUCAUCGGGGGUUUCACAUGCCCUCUGACACACAUUAUUUUAUGCUAUGAGAGGCUAUAAGUUGGAAAAGGUAAUUCAGUUCUAGCCUUUUUGUCCGCUUGUGAGUUAGUUCUUAAUCUGGUUUUUAUGUACUCCGGUUUUUAUGUACUCCCUAACCAUGGCUCCAUUUAGCUAUCUUGAACAUGGCCCAAUUAAGUUCUAGCAUGGUUUUGUUGGGUUGCAUUACAGGCUUUUAUUCGGUUUCCGAGUCCAUGAUGGAUCAAGGAUAGGAAACGAUACUUAAAUUGUUCAAAUUUUUUUAUGUAUGGCAAUUGCAUGUACUUACAAUUUUCUAUUGCAUGGAAGCAAUGGAAUGGGACGUUUGACAUGUUCAGUGAUAUCUUGUUUUGCAUUUGUUAUUGUGCCAUUUACCUGUUAUCUCUCAUCACCUAUUUAUCGCCAGAUUGUUUUGAUGCUCAUUCCGCAUUGUCUCUGUUUAAGAAACCGUCUUUGUCUUGCUACUUCUGAUGUUAUUGUGUAGGAACAUAGGGUCAUGAACUGCGUAGUUUACAACCAAUAUUUGAAACCGAGGGAGGAGUGGAAGAUUUUAUGCUUUUAAUGUAAUGAUUGGACCCCUUUUGUGUGGCUUUUUGAGUGAUUAUUGUUCUGGCCACAGUUACAUGGUGGCUGGUCCAAUUUGUAUGGUUAAUCUGGCAAAUGAUGGUCAAGAUAUUGGCGCAACAUAUUACAGCUGCAAUGUAGGUAUUGAGCAUUUAGAAUUUCAGUGAAUUGGAUGUAAGUUUCCAACUGCAGGAUGUUCGGCCCAUAUUGUCAUGGUAGAAUUCUGCCUUUUUGUUUUUCGGCUUCCUCUAGCUUCAGAAAUCUCACUGUCUGCUCACUAAUGUUGAAACCAUGAAUACACAUUUGCAUGAACAUUACUCCUUCCUGAUUUAGGUGAAAAUGGUUUGGUGAGCAUUUAUGUGAUGGAUCCAUUGGACUGCUGCUUGGCUCAUUGAUAUUGUUGAACAUCAUGAAAGGGCCCUUGACUCUGUUUGAUUGGGUGGAUAGGGAACGUCAAUGGGUCUGUUAAAUUUGCUUAUGCUUUAUUAAUGAUCUCAGAUGCAAAUCCGUAGCCAAUUUGUUUUAAGGUGUUCUUGGUUUUAUGCAUAAGCUCUUGUUUCUGCAGUCAUUUGGAGUAGUUGAUCUAGUUCACCCUAAUGGACCAGCUUGUGAGGCGACUUCACUGCCUUGCUUUAUUAAUGCGAUGCUCAUUCUUAAAUUCAAAUGCCUAAUACAGGACGGAAUCUAACAGUGCUCCUGAUCCAUUUGUGCUUCGCUCCGUACUGUAACCCGUCCUCCAGUGCCCGUAUACGCCAUCUCAGUGGGCUGGAGAACCCUGUAUAGGCGAAUCUCAUCGAUUUUAUGGUUGAGCUUUCUUUGCAGGUGGUUUGUUGCAUAUGAUUCCGUUGAAAUCUGCUUAACAAAAGUACAGGUUUUGCGUAAUCUCUUUUCUUUUCCUGGGUUACAAUCGCAUUCAGGAAUUUCUUAUUGCAGAAGGAACCACCUCGAGUGGAAGAUGUUACGCUGCUCGGACACUGGGAUCAUGGCUGUUGGUCGGUUGGACCUCUCAAAUCUGGCCUGUUCUUGGAGUUUGAAGUGAAUGGAUAGCUAACUUUUACAUGUCGAAUUGAUCCAUCUCCUUCGGUGUGUAUCUAAUGGCUUGUAAUUCUUUCAUUUGUAGUUC